GAAAUGCGAUAAGUAAUGUGAAUUGCAGAAUUCAGUGAAUCAUCGAAUCUUUGAACGCACCUUGCGCGCCUUGGUAUUCCUUGGAGCAUGCCUGUUUGAGUAUCAUGAAAUCUUCAAAGUAAAUCUUUUGUUAACUCAAUUGGUUUCUACUUUGGUAUUGGAGGUCUUUGCAGCUUCACACCUGCUCCUCUUUGUUCAUUAGCUGGAUCUCAGUGUUAUGCUUGGUUCCACUCGGCGUGAUAAGUUAUCUAUCGCUGAGGACACUGUAAAAGGUGGCCAAGGUAAAUUCAGAUGAACCGCUUCUAAUAGUCCAUUGACUUGGACAAUACUUUUAUGAUCUGAUCUCAAAUCAGGUAGGACCACCCGCUGAACUUAAGC
Molecule: unclassified non-coding RNA, 378 nt
Filed under: plant metagenome
Description: partial contains 5.8S ribosomal RNA, internal transcribed spacer 2, and large subunit ribosomal RNA
Rfam family: 5.8S ribosomal RNA (bases 1-105)
Source: RNAcentral